UAGAAUAUGGUGUAUGUGGUAGCACGAAGAAUUUUGAGUUCUUAAGAUUAGGUUCAAAUCCUAUGAUUCUAG
RNAcentral lists this transfer RNA (72 nucleotides) under Dremomys rufigenis rufigenis. Its description in RNAcentral is "tRNA-Gln". It matches the Rfam family "tRNA". From Rfam's summary of the family: Transfer RNA (tRNA) molecules are approximately 80 nucleotides in length. Their secondary structure includes four short double-helical elements and three loops (D, anti-codon, and T loops). The record is from RNAcentral. Lineage: Eukaryota; Metazoa; Chordata; Mammalia; Rodentia; Sciuridae.